UACGGGGGGGGCAAGCGUUGUCCGGAUUUAUUGGGCGUAAAGAGCGUGUAGGCGGCUUGGUAGGUCCGCUGUGAAAACUCGAGGCUCAACCUCGAGAUGUCGGCGGAAACCACUUGGCUAGAGUCCGGAAGAGGAGAGUGGAAUUCCUGGUGUAGCGGUGAAAUGCGCAGAUAUCAGGAAGAACACCUAUGGCGAAGGCAGCUCUCUGGGACGGUACUGACGCUGAGACGCGAAAGCGUGGGGAGCGAACAGG
This 253-nucleotide ribosomal RNA is filed under the name uncultured bacterium. RNAcentral describes it as "partial 16S ribosomal RNA". It matches the Rfam family "Bacterial small subunit ribosomal RNA", at positions 524 to 776 of the family's 1533-position model. The record is from RNAcentral.